This 253-nucleotide ribosomal RNA is filed under the name uncultured bacterium. Its description in RNAcentral is "partial 16S ribosomal RNA". It matches the Rfam family "Bacterial small subunit ribosomal RNA", at positions 524 to 776 of the family's 1533-position model. The record is from RNAcentral.
UACGAAGGGGGCUAGCGUUGCUCGGAAUCACUGGGCGUAAAGCGCACGUAGGCGGAUUCCUAAGUCGGGGGUGAAAUCCUGGAGCUCAACUCCAGAACUGCCUUCGAUACUGGCGAUCUUGAGUCCGGAAGAGGUGAGUGGAACUCCUAGUGUAGAGGUGGAAUUCGUAGAUAUUAGGAAGAACACCAGUGGCGAAGGCGGCUCACUGGUCCGGUACUGACGCUGAGGUGCGAAAGCGUGGGGAGCAAACAGG